RNAcentral lists this ribosomal RNA (448 nucleotides) under uncultured bacterium. RNAcentral describes it as "SSU rRNA". It matches the Rfam family "Bacterial small subunit ribosomal RNA", at positions 26 to 518 of the family's 1533-position model. The record is from RNAcentral.
AGAGCGAACGCUGGCGGCAGGCUUAACACAUGCAAGUCGAACGGAUCCUUCGGGAUUAGUGGCGGACGGGUGAGUAACACGUGGGAACGUGCCUUUAGGUUCGGAACAACGCAGGGAAACUUGCGCUAAUACCGGAUGUGCCCUUCGGGGGAAAGAUUUAUCGCCUUUAGAGCGGCCCGCGUCUGAUUAGCUAGUUGGUGGGGUAAUGGCCUACCAAGGCGACGAUCAGUAGCUGGUCUGAGAGGAUGGCCAGCCACAUUGGGACUGAGACACGGCCCAAACUCCUACGGGAGGCAGCAGUGGGGAAUCUUGCGCAAUGGGCGAAAGCCUGACGCAGCCAUGCCGCGUGGAUGAUGAAGGUCUUAGGAUUGUAAAAUCCUUUCAGGCGGGGACGAUAAUGACGGUACCCGCAGAAGAACGCCCCGGCUAACUUCGUGCCAGCAGCCGC